This 75-nucleotide small RNA is filed under the name Paenibacillus sp. P22. RNAcentral describes it as "ctRNA". Lineage: Bacteria; Bacillati; Bacillota; Bacilli; Caryophanales; Paenibacillaceae. The record is from RNAcentral.
GCUUCUCGUGCGCUAGGGCCGCAUCGGCUCGAAAGCCUUUCCGAUUCAGGUCGGAAAGGCUUUUUUUAUUUGCUU